Molecule: long non-coding RNA, 514 nt
Filed under: Homo sapiens (human)
Lineage: Eukaryota; Metazoa; Chordata; Mammalia; Primates; Hominidae
Description: HSALNT0095032
Source: RNAcentral
GGCUGGGGAAGCCCAGACCCAGAGCGGGGGCGAGGGCGAGUCGGGCCGGGGUUCUAUCGCUGUCAUCCAGGGCCCGCCCGCCCACCUCAGGGACCGUGAGAGCGAACCGGGAGUGCGGGGGAGGAGCGGCUGGGCCCGCCUGGGCAGGGGCCGCCCAGGAGAGGCGGGGCCUUGACCCCGGGCCUCGAUCUAUGGCACGGUGUCUUUCCGGGUGUCGCUGGGAAAUUGAGGAUAGGAAGUCACGGCCACUUGGUUCUUGGGACACUGUAUAGCAGUGAGCUGCCUUGCCUCUGCCACCUGUCGGUGGGAUGGGGCUGCUGGUGCCUGGGGUCCCCUGUGCUCCCCCGGAACCGAAAGGCUGUUCCCUAGUCCCCGCCGGCAAAGAGCCCACCUUUGGGGGACCGAAGUGGGGAAGCUGAUUGCCCCAAGAGAGGCCUGAUUCUUGUUCUCACCAGGAGAUAAUGGUCCUUGUGGUGAGGGGUCACUUUCCCCCCUUUAUCCAGUCCAGGUGGAG